UGGGGAAUAUUGCACAAUGGGCGCAAGCCUGAUGCAGCCAUGCCGCGUGUAUGAAGAAGGCCUUCGGGUUGUAAAGUACUUUCAGCGGGGAGGAAGGGAGUAAAGUUAAUACCUUUGCUCAUUGACGUUACCCGCAGAAGAAGCACCGGCUAACUCCGUGCCAGCAGCCGCGGUAAUACGGAGGGUGCAAGCGUUAAUCGGAAUUACUGGGCGUAAAGCGCACGCAGGCGGUUUGUUAAAUCAGAUGUGAAAUCCCCGGGCUCAACCUGGGAACUGCAUCUGAUACUGGCAAGCUUGAGUCUCGUAGAGGGGGGUAGAAUUCCAGGUGUAGCGGUGAAAUGCGUAGAGAUCUGGAGGAAUACCGGUGGCGAAGGCGGCCCCCUGGACAAAGACUGACGCUCAGGUGCGAAAGCGUGGGGAGCAAACAGG
RNAcentral lists this ribosomal RNA (429 nucleotides) under Chloroflexota bacterium. RNAcentral describes it as "Chloroflexi bacterium partial 16S ribosomal RNA". It matches the Rfam family "Bacterial small subunit ribosomal RNA", at positions 355 to 776 of the family's 1533-position model. Lineage: Bacteria; Bacillati; Chloroflexota. The record is from RNAcentral.